This 90-nucleotide transfer RNA is filed under the name Lysobacteraceae bacterium. RNAcentral describes it as "tRNA-Ser". It matches the Rfam family "tRNA". From Rfam's summary of the family: Transfer RNA (tRNA) molecules are approximately 80 nucleotides in length. Their secondary structure includes four short double-helical elements and three loops (D, anti-codon, and T loops). The record is from RNAcentral. Lineage: Bacteria; Pseudomonadati; Pseudomonadota; Gammaproteobacteria; Lysobacterales; Lysobacteraceae.
GGAGAGAUGGCCGAGUGGUUUAAGGCAGCAGUCUUGAAAACUGCCGUAGGCGUAAGCCUACCGUGGGUUCGAAUCCCACUCUCUCCGCCA